Molecule: long non-coding RNA, 402 nt
Organism: Bombus impatiens (common eastern bumble bee)
Lineage: Eukaryota; Metazoa; Arthropoda; Insecta; Hymenoptera; Apidae
Exons: 4
Source: RefSeq, a predicted model, not a curated record
UAUGAUAUUGUUGAGGUUAACUGAUAGAGGAACGAGUGGAUGAAUUUAUUAUUAGAAAAAUAUAUUGAAGUAAGUAUAAGUACAGGUACAGUGUAUGAGGUGAAAAUCAAAUAAAUUGUUAUCGUUAUUUAUUAAUUUAAUGUGUGAUAUUGUCGAGGUUAAGUGAUAGAGAAACGAUUGGAUGAAUUUGUAAUAGAAAAAUAUAUUGAAAUAAGUAUAAGUACAAGUAUAGUGUAUGAGGUGAACAUCAAAUAAACUGUUAUCAUUAUUUAUUAAUUUCAUGUAUGAUAUUGUUGAGGUUAACUAAUAGCGGAACGAGUGGAUGAAUUUGUAAUAGAAAAAUAUAUUGAAGUAAGUAUAAGUACAGGUUAGCUGAUAGAGGAACGAGUGGAUGAAUUUGUA